This 497-nucleotide ribosomal RNA is filed under the name uncultured bacterium. RNAcentral describes it as "partial 16S ribosomal RNA". It matches the Rfam family "Bacterial small subunit ribosomal RNA", at positions 28 to 507 of the family's 1533-position model. The record is from RNAcentral.
GACGAACGCUGGCGGCGUGCCUAAUACAUGCAAGUUGAGCGAUGAAGAUUGGUGCUUGCACCAAUUUGAAGAGCAGCGAACGGGUGAGUAACGCGUGGGGAAUCUGCCUUUGAGCGGGGGACAACAUUUGGAAACGAAUGCUAAUACCGCAUAAUAACUUUAAACAUAAGUUUUAAGUUUGAAAGAUGCAAUUGCAUCACUCAUAGAUGAUCCCGCGUUGUAUUAGCUAGUUGGUGAGGUAAAGGCUCACCAAGGCGAUGAUACAUAGCCGACCUGAGAGGGUGAUCGGCCACAUUGGGACUGAGACACGGCCCAAACUCCUACGGGAGGCAGCAGUAGGGAAUCUUCGGCAAUGGACGAAAGUCUGACCGAGCAACGCCGCGGGAGUGAAGAAGGUUUUCGGAUCGUAAAACUCUGUUGGUAGAGAAGAAAGUUGGUGAGAGUGGAAAGCUCAUCAAGUGACGGUAACUACCCAGAAAGGGACGGCUAACUACGUG